Molecule: ribosomal RNA, 467 nt
Filed under: uncultured bacterium
Lineage: Bacteria
Description: partial 16S ribosomal RNA
Rfam family: Bacterial small subunit ribosomal RNA
Source: RNAcentral
GAUGAACGCUGGCGGCGUGCUUAACACAUGCAAGUCGAACGGUGACGCAGUGCUUGCUCUGUGUUUCAGUUGCGAACGGGUGAGUAACACGUGAGCAACCUGCCCCCGACUCUUUGAUAAGCGCUGACAACGGCGUCUAAUCCUUGAUAUCAGCUGCGACCUCCUGGUCAGCGCUUGGAAAGUUUAUUCGUUCUGGGAUUGGCUCACGGCCUAUCAGCUUGUUUGUUGGGUAAUGGCACACCAAGGCGUCGCCGGGUACCCGGCCUGAGAUGGGGAACGGGCACAAGGGGACUGAGGGAGGGCGCAGAGGCCAACGGGGGGCAGCAGGGGGGAAUAUGACACAGUGAGCGAGAGCGGGAUGAAGAAACGCCGCGUGAGGGAUGACGGCCUUCGGGGAGAAAAACGCUUUUAGCAGGGAAGAAGCGAAAGUGACGGUACCUGAAGAAAAAGCGCCGGCUAACUACGUG